This 28-nucleotide ribosomal RNA is filed under the name Parmelia serrana. RNAcentral's name for it is "partial large subunit ribosomal RNA". The record is from RNAcentral. Lineage: Eukaryota; Fungi; Ascomycota; Lecanoromycetes; Lecanorales; Parmeliaceae.
UGACCUCGAUCAGUAGGUCCCCAUUCCC